GGUGGAUGCCUUGGCAGUCAGAGGCGAUGAAAGACGUAGUAACUUGCGAUAAGCCCAGAUUAGGUAGUAACAACCAUUUGAGUCUGGGAUUUCUGAAUGGGGAAACCCACUUACAUAAGUAAGUAUCCUUACCUGAAUACAUAGGGUAAGGAGGCGAACCGGGGGAACUGAAACAUCUAAGUACCCCGAGGAAAAGAAAUCAACC
Molecule: ribosomal RNA, 205 nt
Filed under: Vibrio parahaemolyticus
Lineage: Bacteria; Pseudomonadati; Pseudomonadota; Gammaproteobacteria; Vibrionales; Vibrionaceae
Description: partial 23S ribosomal RNA
Rfam family: Bacterial large subunit ribosomal RNA
Source: RNAcentral